CAGUAGCCCGGGAAUACAGAGGGUGCAAGCGUUAAUCGGAAUUACUGGGCGUAAAGCGCGCGUAGGUGGUUUGUUAAGUUGGAUGUGAAAUCCCCGGGCUCAACCUGGGAACUGCAUCCAAAACUGGCAAGCUAGAGUAUGGUAGAGGGUGGUGGAAUUUCCUGUGUAGCGGUGAAAUGCGUAGAUAUAGGAAGGAACACCAGUGGCGAAGGCGACCACCUGGACUGAUACUGACACUGAGGUGCGAAAGCGUGGGGAGCAAACAGGAUUAGAUACCCCCGUAGUCCCUGUCUCUUAUACA
This 301-nucleotide ribosomal RNA is filed under the name uncultured bacterium. RNAcentral's name for it is "partial 16S ribosomal RNA". It matches the Rfam family "Bacterial small subunit ribosomal RNA", at positions 509 to 808 of the family's 1533-position model. The record is from RNAcentral.